UUUUUCAUCUUGGUUUGAAUAGAUAUCAUCUUUCAUUCAAACUUUAGGCGAAAAACUAAUUAAAUCUUAAAUCUUAAACAAAUCCUAAUAAAAUCCAAAAUCCUAAACCAAAUCCUAAAUCAAAUCCUAAUCAAAUCCUAAAUCCUAAAUCAAAUCCUAAUCAAAUCUUAAAUCCUAAAUCCUAAAUCAAAUCCUAACCAAACCUUAAAUCCUAAAUCAAACCCUAAAUCCUAAACCAAAUCUUAACCAAAUCCUAAUCUUAAAUCAAAUCCUAAUCAAACCUUAAAUCCUAAAUUAAAUCUUAACCAAUCCUAAAUCAAAUCCUAAAUCCUAACCAAAUCCUAAUCAAAUCCUAAAUCCUAAUUAAAUUCUAAAUCCUAAACCAAAUCUUAAUCCUAAAUAAAAUCUCAAUCAAAUAUUAACUCUAAAUCAAAUCCUAAUCAAAUCCUAAUCUUAAAUCAAACCCUAACCAAAUCCUAAUCCUAAAUCAAAUCCUAAUCAAAUUCUAACCAUAAAUCAAACCCUAACCAAAUCCUAAUCCUAAAUCAAACCCUAAUCAAAUCUUAAACCAAAUCCUAGUAAUCCUACAAUAGAUUUACACCUCAAUUACUAAUGAAUGAACCGUUGAUCUUAAUUCAAAAUUUUCAUGCUUUUUAACAAUUAAGUUAAAA
RNAcentral lists this long non-coding RNA (671 nucleotides) under Physcomitrium patens. RNAcentral describes it as "long non-coding RNA (PPAT_LNC009521)". The record is from RNAcentral. Lineage: Eukaryota; Viridiplantae; Streptophyta; Bryopsida; Funariales; Funariaceae.